GGCGGAUCGGGUAUUGAGUCCAUGGAGCGAGCUGAGAGCUAGAGUACAGAACCUGCUAAGGCCAUCAAACCUAUCGAUCGGAAGUCAGUCCAUCAGAUUUGCUCUGGGCCGGUGGUACUGAGUCUAAGCACUGCGGUGAAGGAGUUAGUAGAAAACAGUCUGGAUGCUGGUGCCACCAAUAUUGAUCUAAAGCUUAAGGACUAUGGAGUGGAUCUCAUUGAAGUUUCAGACAAUGGAUGUGGGGUAGAAGAAGAAAACUUUGAAGGCUUAACGAUGUCACCAUUUCUACCUGCCACGCAUCGGCGAAGGUUGGGACUCGACUGGUGUUUGAUCACGAUGGGAAAAUCAUCCAGAAAACCCCCUACCCCCACCCCAGAGGGACCACAGUCAGCGUGAAGCAGUUAUUUUCUACACUACCUGUGCACCAUAAGGAAUUUCAAAGGAAUAUUAAGAAGACGUGCCUGUUUCCCCUUCGCCUUCUGCCGUGAUUGUCAGUUUCCUGAGGCCUCCCCAGCCAUGCUUCCUGUACAGCCUGCAGAACUGCUGGGAAGUCCAAGAUCAAGGUGCUGGCAUUUUGCCAGGGCCUUCUUGCUGUGUCACCACAUCCGUGGCUGAAGGAUGGCCGUAUAAGAAAAUAAACAACUUGCUAAAACUGCUGAAACUCCCUCUGCUUGUGAGAUUUAAAAAAACUGGCUGAAAUUGGUUGGAACCAACAUGUCCAAUGGAGUCUGAAUAGAAAGAGCUUGCUGACAUCACAGCCCGAAUUUCCACCACAUUUCAUACUAACUCCCCCUGAAUUUGCAUAUGCAAACCACAAGCAAGCAUGAUCAAACAGACAACUGCGCGUGUCCGAGGACUUUCCAGAUCUCCCCUUUCCUUCCACCAAUCACUUACUAAUCUGAGAAUCCAUCCCCUAAUAAAAUCACUGCCUUAAAGCCUG
Long non-coding RNA from Homo sapiens (human), 940 nucleotides. Ensembl annotates it as PMS1 homolog 2, mismatch repair system component pseudogene 4. Its record names the gene PMS2P4. The record is from Ensembl. Lineage: Eukaryota; Metazoa; Chordata; Mammalia; Primates; Hominidae.